Molecule: transfer RNA, 59 nt
Filed under: Alphaproteobacteria bacterium
Lineage: Bacteria; Pseudomonadati; Pseudomonadota; Alphaproteobacteria
Description: tRNA-Val
Rfam family: tRNA
About the family: Transfer RNA (tRNA) molecules are approximately 80 nucleotides in length. Their secondary structure includes four short double-helical elements and three loops (D, anti-codon, and T loops).
Source: RNAcentral
GGGCGAUUAGCUCAGUUGGUAGAGCGCGUCGUUUACACCGAUGAUGUCGGCGGUUCGAG